AGCAGUAGCCGCGGUAACACGGAGGGCGCGAGCGUUACCCGGAUUUACUGGGCGUAAAGGGCGUGUAGGCGGCCUGGGGCGUCCCAUGUGAAAGGCCACGGCUCAACCGUGGAGGAGCGUGGGAUACGCUCAGGCUAGAGGGUGGGAGAGGGUGGUGGAAUUCCCGGAGUAGCGGUGAAAUGCGCAGAUACCGGGAGGAACGCCGAUGGCGAAGGCAACCACCUGGUCCACUUCUGACGCUGAGGCGCGAAAGCGUGGGGAGCAAACCGGAUUAGAUACCCCUGUAGUCCCUGUCUCUUAUAC
This 303-nucleotide ribosomal RNA is filed under the name uncultured bacterium. RNAcentral describes it as "partial 16S ribosomal RNA". It matches the Rfam family "Bacterial small subunit ribosomal RNA", at positions 507 to 807 of the family's 1533-position model. The record is from RNAcentral.